Molecule: long non-coding RNA, 275 nt
Filed under: Homo sapiens (human)
Lineage: Eukaryota; Metazoa; Chordata; Mammalia; Primates; Hominidae
Description: HSALNT0111378
Source: RNAcentral
AGAUACACAAAUGCUUACCACUGACUACAUUAUUCAGAACAGCAACAUGCCAUACAGGGGUAAAGCCUAGGAGCAACAGGCUAUACCAUACAGCCUAGGGUGGGUGUAGAGAAAAUUCUAGAUGAAAGUCGAACAAAAGGAAGAAACUUCAUUGAGAAGCCCCAAGUAAGACUGGCAGGGGAGCAGGCAGAAAACAGGACAAAAUUCACACAACCACUGAGGGGCUGAGAAGUCAGGAGAAAUACCAUAAAUGCAAGCUAAAAGCAAAACUGUAG